Long non-coding RNA from Micropterus dolomieu (smallmouth bass), 4173 nucleotides. RefSeq lists it as uncharacterized. The record is from RefSeq and is a predicted model, not a curated record. The transcript is spliced from 4 exons. NCBI's taxonomy places the organism in Eukaryota, Metazoa, Chordata, Actinopteri, Centrarchiformes, Centrarchidae.
AUGAAGUUACAUUUAACCUGUAUUUGUUUCCAUUUUGGCAAAUUGGUAGCAUUAAAAGUAUGCCGAAUGAGCUACUAGCAGUUCAUGUUUGCAUUGCACUCAUUAAGGUACAGACAACUAUUACUGGAUUGCUUUGAUAUUGAAGAAAACUUAAAAACGUGAAGAUUCUCAGGCAAGUUCUGGAGUUACAAGGAGCGUCUAUUAUUUCUACGAGGAUUUAGGGGCGUUUAUUCGCGAUGCAUCUGAGAUAAAGACAUUCUCGGGAAGAUGGAUUUGCGUGGAUAGGUGAGGCCAGAAGACAACUGGAGCUUUCUUAUCUCCGGAUUUACGAAGAGGCAGAGCAGAGGGCAGCACUACCUUCUUGUGUGCCAGCGAGGGGUCCUGUCUGAGCAGCUGUGAGAGGUCAGGGACUCGAGCACCGGCAGCGGAGUAGAUCCACUCCUUCUCUAUAGGAUCCAGCUAUCACAGAGAGGGGGAACAAGGACUGCCGGUAGUGACAUCACAGGGACAGUGGAUGUGUAUUUCAAAGACCAAACCCUAACGGUCAUCUAUCAUUAAGAUAAAAGAGAAACUCCAACUCUGUAGACUUGACACUGUACAUGUUUUACUUACUACUCCUUUAAGCCUUUUGUUGAUAAGAAAACAACAGGAAAAUGCAUGAAAAGGACUUACAGCGACAGCAGCGGAGCCCAUACUCCCCGUACACUCCUCGUCUUGCUCUGACUCGGACUGAAAGACAGAAAACAGAUGACUAUUACUCAGUGGUGACGAAAACCCCAACUUUGACACAACUUAACUGUACCGUAACAGUCAUAAUAGUCACACAGCAUAAUCCAGCAUCACAUGUUACACACACACACAUCCACUUUCACACCCUGGUCACACUGCUGUGAUGUUUUCCAGUUGACGAGACGUGACCAAAGGGUGUCAGACAGAUAGAGAGGUAAUGAGACAACAAGACAGAGGUGCUGGUUUCACACAUAAGGGGUAAUGAAUAACAAUCCAAUUAACAAUUAACCAAAACACAACACGCCUACAGUCAGGCCAUGUGUUUUUGUCACCAUUUCAGUCUGAAGUGGUCAAGAGAAAAACUCUUCUAGCAUUGUAUAAAUGUGUCUCUUUAGCUGAUUUAUGUGAGAGGGGAGAAGUUUUUUCUUCUCACCUUUUUUACGGGGGACGUGAUUGCAAAUUGUUCUUAGAUCAUGCAGAGACAUGAUUUUAAAACACUCAGCCCUUUCAUGUCUCUUGCACAGACUGUCACACGUCAGCAUGCUGGACAUGAAAAGUGGAUGGAUUGUAUUUAUCCAGCCUGUUCCGCUCCAGCACAUGUCAAUUUUUUGGCACUUAUGGUGGAGACCAAUAAUAACAGGCCGAGAAAAACAUUAUUGAGUGUGAAUGGAAAGUAUGUUUCAUUAAUUGUAAUUUUAAUUGCUUUAGGGCUGCAACCAUUAUUUAUACUACACAUUACAAAUACUGAUAAAUUUUUCAAUUAUUCUGGUAAUUUUUCAAUUAUUCUUGGUAAUACAGACAUUUUCCAUAGCUUAAAGUGACAUCUUCAAUGUUAUGUCUAACCAACAGUAUAAAACACUAUAUAAUUUACUAUUUAGCACAUGUUAGCAUGAGGCUGAGGCUGAUGGGGGUAUCAUCUGUUAUUCAAGUAUUUAGUAGCAUUCAUAUUGGACCAAUUCAGAUUUGACCUGAUGACGGGAAGAGGUUAAGGAACCAAUAAGUUUAUUACAAUUCAUCCUUAAAAGGCCACGGAUGUCUGUACCAAACUUCCUUGUGAUCCAUCCAAUAGCUGUAAAGACAUUUUACUCAAAACCAUAAAUGUCAACCUCAUGGUGGCGCUAGAGAAAAAGUCCUGAGAUCACCAAGGUCAAUAGGAUUCUUUCUCUGGGAACUAUGAAUGUCUUUCAUGACAAUCUAUGCAAUUGUUCUUUAAGGCCAAAGUGUCGACCACCAACCAACCGUCCCUGUAGCCAAAAUAACAAGAACCAAAAUUAAUUAAUCUCAAAUGCUAACUUCCCAUAACAGUUGUUUGGUCCCCACCAGAGAACUGUAUCUAUAACUUGAAUUCAUUGCAGUUACAUUGGAUUUCUACAGUAACAGAUUUUACGGCUUGGGGGAAAAAAUGUCCAUAGAAACUUCUCAAAACUCCUGCAGCACACCAUCUGUCACAUAUCUUUUUUUAAGACGUGACACCAAAAAAUGUACUGAACAAGACAUGUUUCAAAAAAACUUCUGUUCUCUUUCUGGAGGACAAACUAAAUGUAUUUGUACUUAUGGGCCGAUUUAUAUGCUGAUACCAGUAUAUCAGUGCAAGCGGUUGAGCUCUAAUUGGAAUCCAUUGUAAUCAACAGGAAUUCAGGCUGAUCAGUCUUCCCUAUGAACGACCAAAACAGUGACUAAGAUGCCAGGCAAGGACGAUGCUCUCCUCCUGAAUCUAAUUUAAACUUAAGGGAAGCAGAACUGAUCUGCCCCCAGAGUGUCGUCCUGCAUUUGGGAGCAUGAUUUAAUAAAUGACAAAUAACAACAGAGCUUACAGCCUCAGGUGUUUUGUUUAAGAACAGUGUAUAAACCUGCUAGGUAGCUUCUGUAAUGUGAAAGAACUUGUCCUACAUACAAAGUUCAAUGGUGUGACUAAUACCUUAAGCAAACACAUUUAAUCUGAUUGCGGUGCUAUAUUAACACACUUCAACACAUUUCAUCUGCCUGUUGUGCAGGUCAUCAAGGAGAGCCACAUAUCUUUCUCUCAGAUAAAUCCCAAUCUCUUUAAUCGGCACAAAUGAUUAUUAUCUUUCUAAUGAGUUCCAACAUGUUGCUGCUUAACAUAAUAACAGAGAGCUUAAUUUAAAUGCAUAUUCUUCCCCUUCUCCCCCAGUGGGUUCUCCUCCCACUCAAAAUCAACAUACUGUAGGUUACAAAUCCAGGUAAUUUUCUUAGCACCACCUUGUGGGUAAAGGAGGAACUACUAUAGAGUAAGCACUGAACCUGGAAGUCAAGUGUUUGUCCCUCACUCUCAAACUUUGAGAUACAGUAAGUCCAAGGUGUGUCUUUCAUCUGAGCAACUACAGUGAAAUGUAAUUCAAAAAAGGAAAUUCACCAACAUUAAAUGUUCAUCUAAACGUCUUUCAGAAUGAGAGGACAUUAAUUAUGAAAACUUUAAAUCUAUUUCAAAAAGGUGCCGCCGAUCAACUAAUGGGCUUAUACUUCUAGUUCAUCACUUCUACACACAAAAAGGUUUAAAUUAAAAGAAACAAAUACAACAUGAUAAGACAACUACCCAACAGAAUAUUCAAGUACAGCUAAAACGAUUAGUGUUGAGUUCAUUAAUUAGGCAAAUGACAAAAAAUUAAUUUGGCAACUUAAAGUAAUUUUUCAUGCAAAAACAUUUAAUGGUUCCAGCUUCUAAAAUAUGCUUACCUUUGAUAUUUAUUUUUAAUUAUUUUGAGGUUUGGACUGUUGGCUGGCAUUGUGAAGGUGUCACUUUGGGCCUGGGUAAUUGACUAUUGACUAUUUCAACACCUAGUCUAUGUUUAUACUGAGAUUCCUGAAUGCCCAAACACUAAAACAGUGUUUAACAAUCUAUUUUCAUGUUAUUGUCAUAUCAUAUUGUCUGGUACUAUUAAUUAUAAUAGAUUUUCUGUACUGUCUGACUCACUUCUAGAUCCUGACUAGAUUAUAAUUCUGGUGAUUAUUACAGUAGGUUGGUUGUUUUAUGCACCCUUAUGUCCCUUAAAUGUCACUCAUCGUGUUCCAAAUGUGUUGUUCUGAAUGGAUUUUGAACUGGAUGUAACAUAACACUAUUAAUUAGAUAAAACUGGAUGUUACAAUAUUUUUCUUACAGAAGACAAAGACAUCCAAGAACUGUCUAUUUUUAGGAUUUUCAUUUCUCCAUCUUUUUAAUUUGUAUUCAUAUUACUACCACUUAGAGAAGCAAAAACUGGUCAUUUAAAUCAUAUAUUGAUUUAUUUUAGUUUUCAAUUUCGACAUCUAUGCUUGCUUUUAAUAGCUUUCUAACUCUAAAUCUCAGCACGUGUUGUUUAUGUGUGUUACAACUGACUGAGGUUGGGGGACACGUUUCCUGUGCAGUCAGCCUACCGUAGCUGGAAGUUUCCAGGUUAUUGUGACAAUAAAUAUAAUAAAAUAUGCUAAAGAGCAGCCUCACACCAA